UACGAAGGGGGCAAGCGUUAUUCGGAUUUACUGGGCGUAAAGGGCGCGUAGGCGGUUGGGUAAGUCUGGUGUGAAAACGCUACCGCUCAACGGAGCGACGGCACUGGAUACUGCUUAACUUGAGUGCGAGAGAGGUUGGUGGAAUUCCUGGUGUAGCGGUGGAAUGCUCAGAUAUCAGGAGGAACACCGGUGGCGAAGGUGGCCAACUGGCUCGCUACUGACGAUGAGGCGCGAAAGCGUGGGGAGCAAACGG
RNAcentral lists this ribosomal RNA (253 nucleotides) under uncultured bacterium. RNAcentral's name for it is "partial 16S ribosomal RNA". It matches the Rfam family "Bacterial small subunit ribosomal RNA", at positions 524 to 775 of the family's 1533-position model. The record is from RNAcentral.